UACGGGGGGGGCAAGCGUUGUUCGGAAUUACUGGGCGUAAAGGGCUCGUAGGCGGCCAACUAAGUCCGGGGUGAAAUCCCUCGGCUUAACCUGGGAACUGCGUCUGAUACUGGAAGGCUUGAGUGCGGGAGAGGGAUGUGGAAUUCCAGGUGUAGCGGUGAAAUGCGUAGAUAUCAGGAGGAACACCAAUGGCGAAGGCAGCUCGCUGGGACGGUACUGACGCUGAGACGCGAAAGCGUGGGGAGCAAACAGG
This 253-nucleotide ribosomal RNA is filed under the name uncultured bacterium. RNAcentral describes it as "partial 16S ribosomal RNA". It matches the Rfam family "Bacterial small subunit ribosomal RNA", at positions 524 to 776 of the family's 1533-position model. The record is from RNAcentral.